Long non-coding RNA from Rosa chinensis, 1430 nucleotides. RefSeq lists it as uncharacterized. The record is from RefSeq and is a predicted model, not a curated record. Lineage: Eukaryota; Viridiplantae; Streptophyta; Magnoliopsida; Rosales; Rosaceae. The transcript has 6 exons.
GCAGAAAAUGUUGCAAGAGAACCCUUUUGGCAGGUCAGACCUCAGAGUAGCAGUAGAUCAGCAGAAUAUGAAACUCGGGUUAUCUUGAUGGUGUGCAAAUAUCUGCAAUGUAGAAGCAUGGAGACUCCCGAAUUGCAUCAGAGUUGUCAAACUGGUGAUUGAUCACUAAAGAGAUAAGAUGGGAUUUUGUGGCGUGGAAGAGAGGGACAAGUCAAUAUGACCAAAAGUUUCAAUCAAUUCACUUUCAAGUUCUGCCAAGUCCAAAGGCCUCAUGAGGUUCUGGAGAGGGCAGAAGAAAAGAGUUACGAAACCUCCAAAUUCAAGAUGCAUGGUUAUAAUAAGAUGGAAGGUCAUGGAAGUAUCAUUAUAUGUUUGAUCUUACAAUGGUCAGCCAUCAGAGGAUUUGGUUAAUAACAAUAUCUGGUUGUAUUUCUUCAAGUUGCAAGAAAAUUUGCAAAGUCAUGCUCACCCCUCAAAGUUGCAGUGGUUGAUUUCCUCAAGACAUGAUGACUGUCGGAUUUUCCUUGCACUGCACCACAACUAAACCAUAGUCCCGCCUCAUCCCACAUCCCACUCCCCAAAUAAGGCUUAAUGGGCCUAGAAAUCAAUAGACCUUGUGGUUGAUCAGGAAGUGCAAGAUUAGCGGAGUAUGUAAAGAUGGGAAGAAGUCUGUGAUUAUCAAGUAGCUCGAACUUCAAAUAAGACAGGGAAAAGAGAAAAUUAUAAUGAAGAUCGUUUCGGGUGAUUGCAGUCUGUCUCCUCAAAAAUUCUAAUAUGGACCAGGGUCCAGGUGGACCACGGUUAAAUCCGGCGCGUGAAGAAAACGCGCGGUUUUCAGGCGAUUGAAGAAGAAAGCUGACGGCAUGGGACCCACUGAUCUGCAACUGUCGGGUUUUUUACUGUGCAACUGUCGGUUUUUUACUGUUCCCCGAGUUCGUCGACGAGUUCCUUCCGUCAAUCCGUCCUCCCUCCAUUAAACCCCAAACCACCUGCACAACGGAGACCACCGACGCGCAGGAGAUGACAUCCACAGGUCAACCAUACAACCGAUCCACGACCGAACCGGAGCCCCAUUUGGGCGAACCGUUGAUCGAUUCCAUACUCGGCGAUUUGAACAAGGCAACCCCGAAACCUCCGAUGGGCUUCAACGAGAACUGCUCUGCCACCGUGAAGGUCAUCUGCGACGGCGGCGCUCGGGAUCCACAAGCACCACCCCAAAAUCCUAGGCUGCAACGUCGACGUUGGCGGUGGUGCUGUUGUAGACGGCGAAGUUCUGGGUAUUUGGAGGCGACGUCGACAUAUAUAUAUAUAUAUAUAUAUAUAUUAAAUUUCUAUUAACGGUGUAGAUAAAAAGAUACAGAGCCUACGGUCCAGAUCGAACCUCUGAAAAAAAAAUAUAAUAAAUAACUGAUUUGUUUUUAAUAAUAUAA